RNAcentral lists this ribosomal RNA (866 nucleotides) under Microascus trautmannii. RNAcentral's name for it is "eukaryotic LSU rRNA". It matches the Rfam family "Eukaryotic large subunit ribosomal RNA", at positions 68 to 960 of the family's 3401-position model. Lineage: Eukaryota; Fungi; Ascomycota; Sordariomycetes; Microascales; Microascaceae. The record is from RNAcentral.
ACAGGGAUUGCCCCAGUAACGGCGAGUGAAGCGGCAACAGCUCAAAUUUGAAAUCUGGUCCCCUCGCGGGGCCCGAGUUGUAAUUUGAAGAGGAUGCUUCUGGCAAGGUGCCUUCCGAGUUCCCUGGAACGGGACGCCGCAGAGGGUGAGAGCCCCGUACGGUAGGACGCCGAGCCUCUGUGAAGCUCCUUCGACGAGUCGAGUAGUUUGGGAAUGCUGCUCAAAAUGGGAGGUAAACCCCUUCUAAAGCUAAAUACCGGCCAGAGACCGAUAGCGCACAAGUAGAGUGAUCGAAAGAUGAAAAGCACUUUGAAAAGAGAGUUAAAAAGCACGUGAAAUUGUUGAAAGGGAAGCGCUUGCGACCAGACUCGCGCCCGUCGGAUCAGCCGUCGCUUGUCGGCGGCGCACUCCGGCGGGCUCGGGCCAGCAUCAGUUCGCCUCGGGGGGAGAAAGGCGGCAGGAAUGUGGCUCCUCGGAGUGUUAUAGCCUGCCGUGUAAUACCCCCGGGCGGACUGAGGACCGCGCGUAUGCAAGGAUGCUGGCGUAAUGGUCGUCAGCGACCCGUCUUGAAACACGGACCAAGGAGUCGUCCUAAUAUGCGAGUGUACGGGUGUCAAACCCCUGCGCGUAAUGAAAGUGAACGGAGGUGAGAGCUUCGGCGCAUCAUCGACCGAUCCUGAUGUUCUCGGAUGGAUUUGAGUAAGAGCAUAUUGGGCCGGACCCGAAAGAAGGUGAACUAUGCCUGUGUAGGGUAAAGCCAGAGGAAACUCUGGUGGAGGCUCGCAGCGGUUCUGACGUGCAAAUCGAUCGUCAAACAUGGGCAUGGGGGCGAAAGACUAAUCGAACCUUCUAGUAGCUGGUUUCUG